Molecule: ribosomal RNA, 326 nt
Filed under: Halomonas sp. MES3-P3E
Lineage: Bacteria; Pseudomonadati; Pseudomonadota; Gammaproteobacteria; Oceanospirillales; Halomonadaceae
Description: bacterial LSU rRNA
Rfam family: Bacterial large subunit ribosomal RNA
Source: RNAcentral
GACUCCUUCGGGUUAUAGGGUCAAGCAAUGAAGCGCACACGGUGGAUGCCUAGGCAGCCAGAGGCGAUGAAAGACGUGGUAGCCUGCGAUAAGGCUCGGUGAGGUGGCAACAACCUGUGACCCGGGCAUUUCUGAAUGGGGAAACCCACCGAUCAUAAGAUCGGUAUCGUGCACUGAAUACAUAGGUGUACGAGGCGAACCAGGGGAACUGAAACAUCUAAGUACCCUGAGGAAAAGAAAUCAACCGAGAUUCCCCUAGUAGCGGCGAGCGAACGGGGACCAGCCCUUAAGCAUGUGACUGAUUAGGCGAAUGCGUUGGGAAGCGC